GUUAGUGUUCUAUCUCCCUUCUUCGAUUACGUCUGCGCGUUAUGGAGGUGAAAGUUACAAGCUUCGAGGAGAUCAUCGAGACCUAGCUACUCCGGAGACGACAUGGAAAUUCCCGGCAUCCGAGGUAACGAGGAGAACCUCACCUUCCCGUGAUCAUCGCUUACGGUAGAGAACAGGAAUCGAUACUUAGUGUUUACUAAAAGCAAAUUAGCGGAAUGUGCCGGGUUUAGUGGGCGGGCAUAGCUAGUUGUUGUAAUAUGUAGACUUGGGUACUUUUGUUUGAAUCGAGCUUGUAACCGUA
Molecule: long non-coding RNA, 301 nt
Filed under: Brassica napus (rape)
Lineage: Eukaryota; Viridiplantae; Streptophyta; Magnoliopsida; Brassicales; Brassicaceae
Description: long non-coding RNA (BNAP_LNC022042)
Source: RNAcentral